This 497-nucleotide ribosomal RNA is filed under the name uncultured bacterium. Its description in RNAcentral is "partial 16S ribosomal RNA". It matches the Rfam family "Bacterial small subunit ribosomal RNA", at positions 28 to 507 of the family's 1533-position model. The record is from RNAcentral.
GAUGAACGCUGGCGGCGUGCCUAAUACAUGCAAGUCGAGCGAACGGACGAGAAGCUUGCUUCUCUGAUGUUAGCGGCGGACGGGUGAGUAACACGUGGAUAACCUACCUAUAAGACUGGGAUAACUUCGGGAAACCGUAGCUAAUACCGGAUAAUAUUUUGAACCGCAUGGUUCAAAAGUGAAAGACGGUCUUGCUGUCACUUAUAGAUGGAUCCGCGCUGCAUUAGCUAGUUGGUAAGGUAACGGCUUACCAAGGCAACGAUGCAUAGCCUACCUGAGAGGGGGAUCGCCCACCUGGGAGCUGAGACGCGGUCCAGACUCCUGAGGGAGGCAGCAGUAGGGAAUCUUCCGCAAUGGGCGAAAGCCUGACGGAGCAACGCCGCGUGAGUGAUGGAGAUCUUCGGAUCGUGAAACUCUGUUAUUAGGGAAGAACAUAUGUGUAAGUAACUGUGCACAUCUUGACGGUACCUAAUAAGAAAGCCACGGCUAACUACGUG